UACAUCUUUUUCCUCGCGACGGAGUUUCGUUGGUCGAAAUUCUUUCCUAGGGUCCGUUGAUCCAUAUCAAAGACCAUAAAACCGACUAAAACGUACGUUGUCCAGAACCUUAACACAAGUUCAGUUGAACAAGUUGGGGUAGAGACGAAGGUUUAAGGGAGUUGAGAAAAAAAGUUCGGAGGGAGAAAGGCAGAGAGAAUGGAGGUUAUGAAGGAGGGAGUAUAAAGGAGAAGGAGUGUAAGGAUAGGGUUAGCAUCGGGAAUGAAAUGGCGGAGAUGUGGCUGCAGGAUUUUUAGAAAGUAACGGAGACUGUUUGCUUUGAAAAGAAAUUGCCGAAUAGGAGGCAGUGAUAUAGCGGAGAAUGGGGUUCCAUGAAAUGGGGUUGAGAAUGAUAGAGAUUACGGAAUGGAAUGUCGUUUCGUAUCUUGUAUAUAGAAAGUCGAAUCACUAGGACGAAGAGCGAAGGAUAAUUCACUAGAAAUUUUACAGCAGCAAACGCAAAAUUUUGGGUAUAAAAUAUAGUGAGAUAUGCUAGAACGAAAGAUAAAGAACAGAUGAAUAUUACAAUUUUUAUCAACAAAAUCAGGAUUUCAACAUAACAAUUACAGUUUUUUUCGGUUUUUUAUGAUUUUUAUUAAGAAACGUUUGUUCAUAAUUUAACAUGUUCAGUACAUGAAAAUGAAAUUAACUUCGUAUUACUGUUAUACUGCUUGUACUGAUUAUUUCUAAAUACACAUACAUAUGCAAUUGUAAAACGUCAAAUGUAUGAUCCAUACAAAAAGAAGAAUCUCCAUAUUCAGUAAUCGAAUUUCUUUAUUCAAUUUGAAUCAUAGGUCAUAUCCGUAAGUCAUAGGCAAUUGUCAAUCAUUUACGUUACAUUAACCAAUUAUCAAUUAUAAAUAUUCUGUUCGUUAUAUUGGCUGAAAUUAAAAGAUCGGAAAAUGACUGAUUUGUCACCGUUGAUAACCUUGUACAUUCAUCACAAUGAAUUUUUGAAUGAUCUCGUGUAAACUUAUGCAGUGGAAAAUAAAAAUAUGUGUAAAAUUGCAAUUCACUCUUUUCGCAGAUAAAAAAUAUCGCAACAAUUUAUAUAUUACACAAUGUGUGAUAUAUAACUACUAACGGAAUCAUAACGUCAUUAUUUAUAUAAAUUUAUUUAUAAUUUACAAUUUAUGGAAGUAUAUUGCUCGCAAGAAAAAAGUUGAUACAUUCAGAAUAUGUUUUGUCCAAGCCAUAAAAGACAGUAUCACAUCCAUGUAACAUAAUUUACAUCUUACAAUAUUGUUUCUGUGACAAUUACAUAAUUAACUGUUAACGUCUUUGCAUUUAUAACGAAAUGAUAUAUGUGCCACAAAUUAAAGGAGUCAUCAGUCGAAAUGCAAUGACAUUGAAAAUUUAAUUCUUUGACUUCUUUAGAAUCCUAGCACUCUUCUCAGAUAACGUACAAUUUGCUAUGGGCGCUAUAACUACAAUAUUUCAGUUAUUGUAUCUUUUCACUUCUUGUUUAACUUUUUACUAUAUACAAUUUACUAUAUAACAAUUUACUAUAUAAAAUAAAUUAACUUUUUAUUUCAUUAUUUAUAAGCAUUAUUUUAUUCAGAAUAAUGAAAUGAUCGGAAGAAGGACAACGAUACCAAUCGAUAUUAGACUAUUCGUGCGUUAAUUCGAUAGUGAUCAAGGAUCAUAGAGAUUUUCUAAUGGUAUGAAGAUAAGGAAAGAUUACGUACCAAACAAACGUGUCGCGUGAUUACAUAAAGCUAAUAGCAUUUACGUAAUUCGCCUAAUAAAAUACUUUUCUAUGUUUACAUGCGACACACUGCCUACAUCGAAAUAUAUAUAGCCAUAGUUCUAAAAUUUCAAUCGAUCAUUUCGUCGAUUGGAUAUAAUUUAUUCUCGACUUAUUCACGAAGUAGAUACCGAAUAUUAUAUAAGAUCUUGAUGAAAUAACCGAAUGAAUGAUGAUAUAAUGAUCAAAUGGAUAACCAAUUUAGCGGUCACAGAAAUUCGUAAACAGAUGAAUGUACGAAUUAUGUCGAAUUGAAUAGAAACGUGAACGAAUACAUUCUUAGACUAUUUAUAAAUGCACGGACAUGCACGGCUAAAUGUUUAGAAACUCAUGUUCUAUUCUAAUUCACGUUUAAUCAAUACCAUUUAUCACAAUAAUAUUACAUAUUUAUAAUUUUUUAAUAUUUUGUCACAUAUAUCUUCCAGACAUUAUCAUUCUAGUAUCAGUGAAAGAAAUGAUAGAUACAACAACGUUCGACAUUUUAUCAAUUUUCCAUUGUACGUGAUCGGUCAAUGUCAACUCUUUAUCUUUUAUAUUUAUAGUGUCUAUCCUCGACCUAGCAAGAAAACGUUCUCGUGUGUAACUUUAAUUAUUUGAUUAGCCACUGGUACCUGCAGCUCGAAAAGUUAAAGCUAAUAAUAUCCAGCUUCAUGAAUUGAUAUCAGUUAUAAAUGAAUAUAAGAAAAACAGAAUAAGAAUAAAUGGAGAUAUGACAAGAAUUCAAUAUAUAAUGCUAUAUAUGAAAACCUGUAAAAAAAUUUAUAAAAUGUAUAUUUACAACCAUCUAAGUUUCUUUACAUAUCACUAAAGAAAAUAUUCGAUAUUAGGAGCAACCUACACACAUGUAAUGUACGUACCUGUAAGUAUAUUAUAAAAUCGCAUAGAUGAUUGUAAUUGAAGUGAUAUGUUAAAAAUAAACAGGCAUGGUUUUAUCUCGAUAAAAAUUAACAUUAAUUUCUUUUUACAGUGACAACAAUAGUCUACGUGUAUCGUAAAGAUAACAAAUCUGCCAAAUAUUCCACCAACUGGUUAUUUUGGACAGUUCUCAUAUUAAAGAUAAUUUAUAAAUGUUAAAUGUAUAAAAAAAAGGAUAUUGUCUUAAAAAUUCUUCGAAUAGGAUUUGAAUUUGCAAUAGACUGCAUAACAGUACGGCUAGCAUCUUACAGAUCACGCCACUGUCAUUUCAGUUACAAUCACAGUUUCACUUUAGAAAAUAAGAUUUUAAUAUUAACUUUUUCGUAACGUAUAAAAUUUUACGAUAUUUAUGCGUAUAGGUUGUAUUAAAUACCACUAAUUACGUAACGUAGUUGUUUAUACUAAUAUUUAUCCACAAAAUAUUGUGAAGCCAGAAAUAAAAAAGAAGGCUUUACGAAAAUAAAAUAGUUAUUUUUCAUAUCACCUAUCGUAAAUCUUUCGUUAUUUUAUAACACUUAUAACUGAGAGACUUAAAAGUUUAGAAAUCUUAUACAUUAUUGAUUAAUAUUAUUAACUUCAAUUCGUCAGACUCUACUCCUGAUUCACUCAUAACCUAACUAUUGUUACGAUUAGUUUCAGUUUUCCAAACGUUAUUAUUGUGCAAAAACUCAUUAAAAAGAUUAAGAUGUGUAAGAGUUGUGACUGCACUCCUUGUAACAUUAUACACUAUAACAUUUAAUUCGCAAAAAUUCGAAUUAUAGUAAUAUUUGAAUCAAACCACAAGCACGUGAACUGGUAAUCUAAUCUAAAGUGACCCUGAAUAUGUCUUAAUAUUAAAUGUGUAAAGUUAAAACCUAGAUAUAUUGUGGAGUUAUCAAUGACUUUUGUUCCUUAGAUUUCCUGCAAAAUCUUACGCAAAACUGCUCCCCAUUAAUAUUCGAUAUCUGACAAUGAUAAAACUUUAGAUAAUAUUUAGUUGUAUUAAAUAUACAUGAUAAAAAGUUAGAAUUAAUUUCGUCUGAUUUGAAGUUACACAUAAAAACCAGGAAAGGAAAAAACGGAUUUACAUGUAAUUGUAUUUUAAUUAUAAACUACGUAAAUGCGCGUGGAAUAUUAGAAAAACAUUUGUAGAUAUGUGCAUAUGCAUGGUUCUUUUUGUUACAAUUUUCUAUUGCCAUUGAAAACAUUAAAAUUAGCUACUGCUACAAAUACGUAUAGAAUUUGGUAACAAAAUGCAGUGGUACAAUGUUAAUCCAAAGAAAAAUUGUAUGAAAUAUAAAUCGAGUUUAUAGAAAGGAUUAAAUACCCUACAUUUCAUAAUAACGCCCAAUAGAUACAUAGUAUAAAAAAUACACAUUAUACACACAUAAGUAUUAUGUUUCGUUCAAUCAUCCAUGAUAUCUGUAUCUGUUCUAGGAGACGAAUUUCUGAAUGAAUGAAUAACAAUCGUAAAUCGUUCUAACUGCAACGAGCAAUAAGAAUCAUAAAAGGAGGUAAAAAAGGAAUUAAUGUUUACCAAGAUUUUCCGAAUUGCGCGGGAAAUUCAAGUAGUAUCAGAGUAUAAAGUAGUAUAGGCAGAAUAAACGCCAACAAGCGCAGAACCGCUUCGAUAAUAGUGAGUUUCUGCUUGAUAGAGGGACACCUAAAAUCAGACACGUUGCGACGCCCCUCGAACUACGGCUCAGCUGAGAUGGUCUGAGCCAAUCACGCUGCGCAUUGCUGCUCUCGCCACUUCAAACCAGCGAAUGGUGUUCGUUGAAAUACGUGCGGCUGGUCGCGCACCACACUAGAAUAGUAUCGACGUGUUCCUGCACCGUGUACUAGAAUACAUAUACCUCGUGGAACUCGCAAUCCGCAACGGCCACGUGUUUAUGUGGUUGGCAGAAUACGUGUGAGGUGAGCACCAUACGCUUUGAGAACGGGAAAACGUGAAUUUACCGGGCCGAACAAUCGAGAAAAAUGAAUCGAGAGCCGGAGAAGGGAGAACAAACUGAUUCUCCGUUCGAAGCGAGUCGAAUUAUACCGGAAGACUGAUUUUCGAACGGUGAAUGCAAACGUAACACGCUCUGAAUCGUACGGAAGACACGCUCAAUCGAUGAACCUACAUAGAACAACCUUGAAUAUGAAACUAAGAAGAUUUAGGUUCAGAAGAAGAAUUUCUAAUAUUUCGAGUAUAUAUGAAAGAGUUCUAAGGAAAUUAUGGCUAAAAGAGUGAGAGAUUGGAACAUAUGAAUUCCAUUACCGCAAAAGAUGAUAUAAAUAUAAGCCGCACGUAUAGUCGACAGAAACUGUAAGAUGUUAAAUCUUAGUAGAGUUUCUUAGAGACAAUUUCGCAAUUGUAUAUUAAUUGUUUUUGCUAUAUAAUGAAUCAAUCGUAUCUACUAACACUUUAAAACCAUGAAUGAUAUGUGAAUAAAACUCACGAAGUUCGUGAAAGAUAUUAGAGAUAUUGAUCUCCAGAAAGAUUAAAAAAGAAAUGAAACAAAAAGAAUUAUAUCGUGGACUUAGCAUUCGCAUUCAAUAAUAUUGCUCAAAGUGGAAGUAAUUUAAUCUACGAUAUCAGCGUGCGGCACUCAUCAACCAUACAUAUUACGUCUUGCGUUUGGGUUGGCAGGUGUAGAAAUCGUUAACACGUAACCGUAGUUUUAUUCGAGGUUCCCACAGGUAUCUGAGUUUAUGCCUUUGGCUCGGAGAAUGAUUUUGCUUCGACUAUUGCUUUUUCAGUUAUAUGUGAACAAGAUAAAAUAUAUUAUUUGUUUCUUUAUCUUUCUUUAUACUUCUAUUACCAAAUAUUACUUAUAUCUCUAUAAUUCUACAUUACAAAAAUAAAAAAGCCUGGAACUUUAUGAAACAUUA
Long non-coding RNA from Bombus pyrosoma, 5557 nucleotides. RefSeq lists it as uncharacterized. The record is from RefSeq and is a predicted model, not a curated record. The transcript is spliced from 2 exons. Lineage: Eukaryota; Metazoa; Arthropoda; Insecta; Hymenoptera; Apidae.